Molecule: unclassified non-coding RNA, 396 nt
Filed under: soil metagenome
Description: partial contains 5.8S ribosomal RNA, internal transcribed spacer 2, and large subunit ribosomal RNA
Rfam family: 5.8S ribosomal RNA (bases 2-123)
Source: RNAcentral
GGAUGAAGAACGUAGCGAAAUGCGAUACUUGGUGUGAAUUGCAGAAUCCCGUGAACCAUCGAGUCUUUGAACGCAAGUUGCGCCCGAAGCCAUCAGGUUGAGGGCACGUCUGCCUGGGCGUCACAUAUCGUUGCCCAAUGCCUAUUGCAGUGCAAUAGGAAUUUCUAGGGCGAAUGAUGGCUUCCCGUGAGCGUUGUUGCCUCGCGGUUGGUUGAAAAUCGAGUCCUUGGUAGGGUGUGCCAUGGUAGAUGGUGGUCGAGUUAGAACGAUACCGAUCAUGUGCAUGCUCCCCAAAAUAUGGCCUCUAUGACCCACACGCGUCUUUUGACGCUCAUGACGAGACCUCAGGUCAGGCGGGGCUACCCGCUGAAUUUAAGCAUAUCAAUAAGCGGAGGA